Molecule: ribosomal RNA, 1043 nt
Filed under: Neopestalotiopsis sonneratae
Lineage: Eukaryota; Fungi; Ascomycota; Sordariomycetes; Amphisphaeriales; Sporocadaceae
Description: SSU rRNA
Rfam family: Eukaryotic small subunit ribosomal RNA
Source: RNAcentral
CUAGUAUAGCAUUAUACAGCGAAACUGCGAAUGGCUCAUUAAAUCAGUUAUCGUUUAUUUGAUAGUACCUUACUACUUGGAUAACCGUGGUAAUUCUAGAGCUAAUACAUGCUAAAAACCCCGACUCACGAAGGGGUGUAUUUAUUAGAUUAAAAACCAAUGCCCUUCGGGGCUCUUUGGUGAUUCAUAAUAACUUUUCGAAUCGCAUGGCCUUGCGCCGGCGAUGGUUCAUUCAAAUUUCUGCCCUAUCAACUUUCGAUGGCAGGGUCUUGGCCUGCCAUGGUUACAACGGGUAACGGAGGGUUAGGGCUCGACCCCGGAGAAGGAGCCUGAGAAACGGCUACUACAUCCAAGGAAGGCAGCAGGCGCGCAAAUUACCCAAUCCCGAUUCGGGGAGGUAGUGACAAUAAAUACUGAUACAGGGCUCUUUUGGGUCUUGUAAUUGGAAUGAGUACAAUUUAAAUCCCUUAACGAGGAACAAUUGGAGGGCAAGUCUGGUGCCAGCAGCCGCGGUAAUUCCAGCUCCAAUAGCGUAUAUUAAAGUUGUUGCAGUUAAAAAGCUCGUAGUUGAACCUUGGGCCUGGCUGGCCGGUCCGCCUCACCGCGUGCACUGGUUCGGCCGGGCCUUUCCCUCUGGGGAACCUCAUGGUCUUCACUGAUCGUGAUGGGGAACCAGGACUUUUACUGUGAAAAAAUUAGAGUGUUCAAAGCAGGCCUAUGCUCGAAUACAUUAGCAUGGAAUAAUAAAAUAGGACGUGUGGUUCUAUUUUGUUGGUUUCUAGGACCGCCGUAAUGAUUAAUAGGGACAGUCGGGGGCAUCAGUAUUCAAUUGUCAGAGGUGAAAUUCUUGGAUUUAUUGAAGACUAACUACUGCGAAAGCAUUUGCCAAGGAUGUUUUCAUUAAUCAGGAACGAAAGUUAGGGGAUCGAAGACGAUCAGAUACCGUCGUAGUCUUAACCAUAAACUAUGCCGACUAGGGAUCGGACGGUGUUACUUAUUGACCCGUUCGGCACCUUACGAGAAAUCAAAGUCUUUGGGGUUCU